Molecule: long non-coding RNA, 150 nt
Organism: Microtus oregoni (creeping vole)
Lineage: Eukaryota; Metazoa; Chordata; Mammalia; Rodentia; Cricetidae
Exons: 3
Source: RefSeq, a predicted model, not a curated record
UCCUACUUCUCCCGGCAGCCUCUAGCAAACACAUCCAGGGAGAGAGCGUGCUGUGAUGUGAGUUCAAGGCCAUCCUGCUCUACACAGAUACUGCUGGGAUGUUAAAUGCGCACACUCCCAGUGCCCAGGGCAUGACCACCACACCGUUAC